GGGAAUGAUGCUUACAAAAUGCUUAAGCAACGAGCAAAUUGCAGCAUAGUGCAUGUCUUACAUUCUCAAGAUCUAGAAGAAAGAAGCCGUAGUGAAAUCCAACCAUAAAUGAAGCUCAUGGGAAAAUAUGAAAUACCAGGGGCCCAGAUCCUAUGAACUACAUGUGUCAAAACGUGCAGAUGUCUUUAAAUGUUACUGGGAGUGUCUC
This 208-nucleotide unclassified non-coding RNA is filed under the name Hevea brasiliensis (rubber tree). Lineage: Eukaryota; Viridiplantae; Streptophyta; Magnoliopsida; Malpighiales; Euphorbiaceae. The record is from RNAcentral.